Molecule: ribosomal RNA, 253 nt
Filed under: uncultured bacterium
Lineage: Bacteria
Description: partial 16S ribosomal RNA
Rfam family: Bacterial small subunit ribosomal RNA
Source: RNAcentral
UACGUAGGAUGCAAGCGUUAUCCGGAUUCAUUGGGUUUAAAGGGUGCGUAGGUGGAAUUGUAAGUCAAAGGUGAAAGCCUAUAGCCUAACUAUAGAAGUGCCUUUGAUACUGCAGUUCUUGAGUACAGUUGAGGUGGAUGGAAUGUGUAAUGUAGCGGUGAAAUGCUUAGAUAUUACACAGAACACCAAUUGCGAAGGCAGUUCACUAAUCUGUUACUGACACUGAGGCACGAAAGCGUGGGGAUCAAACAGG